UAUGAAUACGUGGCAUUAGAUCAUGGGUAACAAAAUUUGAAAAGGUUGGCUAUAGUUCUGUCAUUUUAUGGAGCUUAUGAUCAAUAUCUGUGUUGAUCACAAACCAAUUCUCUCCUCUGGAUAAGUUUUGACAGAGGACCCCAAAAUAAACUUUAUUAUUGGCCUUAUUUACGUCUUGCAACAUUGAUGGCAAAUAUGGUAUUUUUAUU
Molecule: long non-coding RNA, 209 nt
Organism: Sinocyclocheilus anshuiensis
Lineage: Eukaryota; Metazoa; Chordata; Actinopteri; Cypriniformes; Cyprinidae
Exons: 2
Source: RefSeq, a predicted model, not a curated record